CAAAUGUAAAGUUCAUCUGUCAGCACCACAGCAAGCAACCACACCUUCUUCUGGCCUGGAUUCACACCAUUCUGCAGCCUCAGUCCAAGAUCAGAACAGAGUUUCAGCACAGCUGGAUUCCACUCUUCCACACUUAUGCACACCUCUCAAUUUUUGCACAGCACCUGAUUGUACUGUAUGCCCAGCAGUGCACACACAUCAGGAGCAGGCAUUGGAGUUUGUCACUUCUAACUCCUGUACUCUAGACUGCUGCAUGCUGAGGGGAGCUAGCAGGUUUCUUGAUUUAUUUGGGAUGAGUUUGAGAGAGAAAAGCUUUAUCCUUCUAACUGGUAUCAGCAGUAAAGGCCAAGGGUUGUUUUCAACAUAACAGGUAAGAGCCACUUAAGCCACUGACGAGCCAAAGGUCAACUCACAACUGACAGCACAGCAAAGUAUGGAGGUGGUUCUGUUCCUGCACAACCAUCAUUGCAAGUGCUGUAGCUGGAGGGGUGGCACAGCUUUUAGAGCUGUUCUAAAUAUUCCAUCUGAUGACAAUCACUCCAGCAGUCUUAGUUUGAGCUUCAGAUUUCAUCAAGGGGAGAACCUUCUUUGAACUGAUCAAGCUAAAAACGUUCACAGUCUUCUCAGCAAGCUCAGCCACAUUGUCUCUCACAUCACAAAAAGUUCUGCCCUGGCUUAUGCUGCCCUCAGCAGUCAGAGUUCUGAUUUGGCAGAAAACAAGAUGUGCUGUGUUAACUAACAGCAUUGUUUAAAAUAGUACUGAUGACCAUCUUUGACUCCCCUGUUUCCUCCCCUUCCUAUACUGCUAUCAGAGGAGAAUUUUGGAUCUGGAAGCACUCUUCAUUUCACAGAGGUCCUGCUUUGAUAUCCUAUGAUAAGAGCAGCAAUGUGAGACUGCUUUGUGGUAGCAGCUGUCAGCAGCCUGUGGAAUGUGCCUAGAGACUGAAUACAGUAGGAUAAAUACUUCUACCCCUGCUUAUUAGCCAGCCACAUAACCUGAGUGCUUCUUUGAGACAUCCAUCAAAACAUGAGCUUGCCCAAAUCCCCCUGGCUUCAGUUUCCUGGGCACCACAACUGAAGCAGUCUUCCCAGACAUUGCUCUGCUUGCAUCAUGGAAGCAACACGAUGAAGGAGUUUAUCAGGAUCUCUGAAGACUCUUUCCCAAGGCUUCACAGUCACAGAUACACCUAUGCAGUGCCAUUGGAACAUCUAGAAACAAAGUCUUUGAACUCUAGAAAAUUUUAACUUCUGGAAAGAAGAUUCAGAACAGCACUCUCCUGCUAACUCUGGAACACUGCCCAAGCCCUGUAAGAGCAUAUAGAGAACCCAAAGGAGACAAAAAGAGAUAUUAGAGGGUACAAAUCAACAGAGAAAACUUAAAAGGAACAGAAUCUACACUGUCUUCAGUAAAGGUACGGCUAAGAAGCCAGCCGAAAUGCGAGAAGGUAGAACUGUGAUGAAACACCUCACCAUGCUCUCCCUUAGCACAUCUAUUACCCCACCAGCAGUUGGCAGCUGCACAGUUCACCCUCCCUAGGGCAGCCCAGUUUCUCAAGAGGACCCAGAAGCACCUCCCUUUGACCCCCAAAGACAGUAGGAUGUUAACCCUGCCACUGUACCCACGGCCACUUACUGGAAAGCCAUGGCUCCUGCCUCCAGAGUGCACCUCGUAGGGGACUGCUCGUUCAGCUUGCGGAACAGCUGCUUCGCCUGGCUCUGGUACUGCUGGAGGUCGCGGCCGGACUGUGGGGAGAGGACAGGCUGUCGGCUGCUACCGUUACCCUGCAAACACCCCCCACCCGCGUCCCAACGGCUCGAGAAAGGGCUGGUCGCGGGGGACGGCGGGGCCUAGUCACAGCCUGAAGGAAAGCAGCGAGACUGGUUGGACCGGGCCUAGCUGAACCGGACCGGACCGGGCUGGGCCUGUCCACGCCAAGAUCCCCCGCCCCACCUGCUCAUCCUCCUGCAUGGAGGCAGCGAGCGGCAGUCCGUCCGCCACGCGGGCGAUCAUGGUAAGCAGCACCAUCUUCGCCUCCGCUCACUGCCCCACCGC
Molecule: long non-coding RNA, 2053 nt
Organism: Gallus gallus (chicken)
Lineage: Eukaryota; Metazoa; Chordata; Aves; Galliformes; Phasianidae
Exons: 2
Source: RefSeq, a predicted model, not a curated record